UGGGGAAUUUUGGACAAUGGGCGAAAGCCUGAUCCAGCAAUGCCGCGUGUGUGAAGAAGGCCUUCGGGUUGUAAAGCACUUUUGUCCGGAAAGAAAUCCUUGGCUCUAAUACAGUCGGGGGGAUGACGGUACCGGAAGAAUAAGCACCGGCUAACUACGUGCCAGCAGCCGCGGUAAUACGUAGGGUGCAAGCGUUAAUCGGAAUUACUGGGCGUAAAGCGUGCGCGGGCGGUUUGCUAAGACCGAUGUGAAAUCCCCGGGCUCAACCUGGGAACUGCAUUGGUGACUGGCAGGCUAGAGUAUGGCAGAGGGGGGUAGAAUUCCACGUGUAGCAGUGAAAUGCGUAGAGAUGUGGAGGAAUACCGAUGGCGAAGGCAGCCCCCUGGGCCAAUACUGACGCUCAUGCACGAAAGCGUGGGGGAGCAAAACAGGAUUAGAUACCCUGGUAGUCCACGCCCUAAAACGAUGUCAACUAGUUGUUGGGGAUUCAUUUCCUUAGUAACGUAGCUAACGCGUGAAGUUGACCGCCUGGGGAGUACGGUCG
RNAcentral lists this ribosomal RNA (544 nucleotides) under uncultured bacterium. RNAcentral describes it as "partial 16S ribosomal RNA". It matches the Rfam family "Bacterial small subunit ribosomal RNA", at positions 355 to 888 of the family's 1533-position model. The record is from RNAcentral.